This 7094-nucleotide unclassified non-coding RNA is filed under the name Daphnia magna. RNAcentral's name for it is "hrp65 protein-like, transcript variant X4". Lineage: Eukaryota; Metazoa; Arthropoda; Branchiopoda; Diplostraca; Daphniidae. The record is from RNAcentral.
CCUAUCGCCGACCGGCGAUCCGAUAGCUAAAUUCCAGCUAUUGUGGAUUAGACAACGUUGCAAGCAUUCGUCGCCAUUUCUUGAUGUGUUGACUGCGUUUUGUCGUUCGUGUGUUUGAAGGAAUAUUAAAAGCAACAAAUUCUGGGUUUCUCAAGUCAAAUAACAUGCAGAAACUAGAAACGGCGAGUUCGGAAAAACUAACUAAGGAGAGUUCUCCUGUUUCAAAUGCUGUCUCUACGCCUUCCAUAUCUACACCCCAAAAUUCUGUCAAUGGUACUGCUGCCUCUGUGGGAAAUAACAGUGGAAGAGGAAAACGUGGAAGUGGUAGGGGUGGCAUAGGAAGAGGGGGACAAUCAGGGAGAAACAAUCAAGGAAAUGGGAAAAAUGGUAACAACGUUGGCCGGUUUCAGCGUAAUACAAAUCAAGUUGGUCAAAGCCAUGGUGAGAAAAAAUGGGAAGAUAAUUCACAUGGUAAUGGGCAUCAAAAACUGUCAGAGGAUCGCCAAUUACUAGAGAAACUUGCAUCACUGUCCAAUUCUACUGCUGAUCUACCAAUCAGAUCCUUUACAGAAACUAAAUUUUCAGGCCGCAGCCGUCUGUAUGUUGGAAACCUUGGAAAUGAUAUAGUGGAGCAGGAUUUAAAGGAACACUUUUCUGCAUAUGGAGAAAUUGCAGAAGUCUUCCUCAAUAAGGAAAAGGGAUUUGCUUUUGUCAGGCUGGAUUACCGUUCCAAUUCAGAAAAGGCAAAACGAGAAUUGGAUGGGAAAGUUUUGAAAGGUCGUACGUUGCGCGUUCGCUCUGCUCCACAUAGCGCCGCUAUUCGUGUGAAAAAUUUGUCUCCCUUCGUAACAAAUGAAUUAUUGGAAAAAGCCUUUUCCAUAUUCGGAGAUAUUGAAAGAGCUAUAGUGGUUGCUAAUGAGCGUGGACAAUCAACGAACGAAGGUGUUGUUGAAUUUGUGCGCAAACCAGGAGCCCAGGCUGCAAUUCGGCGUUGCACCGAUGGCUGUUUUUUCCUAACUUCGUCAUUACGUCCCGUUGUAGUAGAACCAAUGGAACAAUUAGACGAUGAAGAUGGAUUUUCAGAACGCGCAUUUGCUAAAAAAACUCCGGAGUUUACUAAAGAACGCGAAACGGGGCCAAGGUUUGCUGAACCUAAUAGCUUCCAGUUUACUUACGGUCAACGCUGGAAGCAAUUGUUGGAACUGUAUAAGCAAAAAAUGGAUGCUGUUGAGCGGGAAUUGAAAAUCGAAGAAGAUAAGUUGGUGUCCCAGAUGGAAUAUGCUCGAUAUGAACAUGAAACCGAACUGCUUCGUGAACAACUCAGACUACGUGAGCAGGAUCGCGAGAGACAAAAACGUGACUGGGAAUUGAAAGAACGCCAACACGAAGAAUCCAGGUUACGAGAGGAGGAAACUCUUCGUCGACAACAGGAUGAAAUGCAGCAUCGAUUGCGCCAGCAGGAAGACGAAAUGCGUCGGCGUCAACAAGAAAACAACAUGUUCAUGCAAGAGCAAAACACAGAUGGAACUCCUCCAGAUUUUCGUCGACCUCUCCAACCUCCCACAUUUGAUCGGCCAAUGAUGGGUGGUAAUGGACCUCAUAAUCUCAUGGAUCUGCAAAUGGAAAAUAAGCCGUUCCACAACUCCUUUGAACAGCGGCCUUUGGAGCCGCCACCGAUGUUUAACAACAUGCCCAUUGGGGGUCGUAUGGAUGGUCCCAACAACAACAUGGGAAACAUGCCACCCCGCGGGCCACCUCACGGAGUUUCUGCUCCGAGGUGGGGCCGACCCAACGAACGCGAUCGUGAGGAUUUUCUGGUAAAACGUCGCCGUUUCUGAGAGAUUGGUUAUACUAUACUCUCUCUGACUUACUUUCAGCCUAUUCUUGAAAGGCAUCAAAACAAAUCUCGUGCAAACCUUAAAAAAAAAAAAAAAAAAGACAAGAAAAAAAAACCACGAAAACAAACAUUUUUAAAAAUCAUUGUGUUCCUUUUUCUUUAUUUUUUACGACAUUAAAUCUCUGCUUGAAUUAGUUCCGUUUCUCAGGUUAAAUCUGAGACAAGCUAUUGUCUUUUUCUUUUCUUUUUUCUCUCCCUCUCUCUUUCUCGUUUUCCCUCCUUUUUUUCUGUUUUUUUCUUUUUUUGUUUGAUUAUUGCCUUUUUUGUAAGUCGUUCGACUCUUGGUGUUUUGAUUUCUUAAUUGUCCUCACUUAUAUCUGCCAUCCCAACCAAUCCAAACUAAUUUUUAAAACAUGACUUUGAUUGGUUUUGUUGGUAAAAUGUGUACUACACACAAAAUCGAUGACCUGUCGAAGAUCAUCUUUCUUGUGUGCUUCUUCUUUCAAAAAUAUAAAAAAAAAAGAAAAAAAUCUUUUUACAAACAAAUUUUUACGCCAAUGGCAUAAAGGUGUUAUACGGGGGAUUGACAACUCAAAGACGAAAAUUACGACACUUAAAAUUUUUCCUCACCUAUGGUGAUUUCAUCAAGCGUACGAGAUUAAACCUCUUAUGAUUGAUAUUUCCAACAUCUUGUAACGGUUGCCAACCCCAUGGCUUCAUGUAUUAGACAUUUGUGUAUGACUAAUGUCUAUGCGCAGAAAUUGUUCUUUUUAGCAAAUAUCAGAAGCCCUUCUAAAAAAAAUGUGUUUGCAAGUGGCUAAGCUGCUUUUAAAAAUCUUUUUGUCCUGCUCGUACUUUGGCUUCGACCAGAUAUCGCCACUCCUUGAUUUUAUACGUAGGUUACCUUGAUCACACCAUAGGAUUUAAAGCUUCACAGUGAAGAAAAGCACUGAAUGCUCAUGUCUUCCUCAAAUGACGUCAGUUGCACAUCAGCUUGCAGAUGAACUGUAUCCUAUUGGAAUGUCAUUUGAGGUUUUUUAAUUACUUCUAACCUGUUUAUCGGUCUCCGUUUUUUUUUUCUUCCCUUUUAUUUCACUCCCGCUUGUCAGUCUUUGGGCAUUUUUCUGUUUACUUCACACCCCUGAAUUUUGUGUUGGGGGUAGCUAUAUCCAUUUGUUGGCAUUGGAUGGAAAGACACUUCAGUGCUAAUCAAAGCACUUGAUGUGUGCUAGUGAAAAAAUGUUUUACUUAUUCAACGCCAUAAAAAAAAAAAAUAGAAAUCUGGUCAUUUGAGACAUGUAAAAAUGUCAUCUUUUCAACAAAAAAAAGUCUAAUUUAAGAUUCUGAAUUCUUGAGAGAUUGGCAUUUUCAAAACUGACUGAUUUUUGCAACAGUUGCCGACCCCAGAUGAUUGCCAUUACUUAUGUUGAACGCUAAAGUUUCUUGCAAGCCAUAAGACAGUAUUUGUUUCUCAAAUAAGGCGUUGUAUGGUGAACAUUAUCAUUCAUUCUCAGGAACGAAACUGGCUUCUUUCAGAAGGCUGGAGUUUUUUUUUUUGCUUUGUUUUACCUAUGAUGUAGAAAAAAAGAGCUGCACCUGGGUUCUCCAGUACAAAAUUUCCUGUACGUACAGAACGCAACUCGAUUUUGCUUAACGAACAAUUAAAAAAGGAAUAUGUUUUUCUUGCUGGAUUUUCUAUUUGCCCUGAUUUGAGGAAAAUGCUUGGAUCAGGUCCAUGCAGCAGGAUUUAAAAAAUGCAUAUUCCUCCUGCAGUUUUUGCCGCUGUUUUGAUUUAGCAGAAAUGUUUCAAAGCUUGUUGUUUGUCUGUGGAACUUUUUAAACAUUGAAUUUUCAGACAAUAUCUGACAUGGAAUCUAUUAACCUGUGAAACAGUAACCACUACGACGACCUUAUUGCGUGGAAUCUGCACGAAUCGUGUAAGUUGGCGUGUUUUGAUAAGGUAGAGGACUACGAAUAAUUCUGUACGUGCAUUUAAAGAACAUUGAUAGAGAGUAAAAUAAUUUAGAGUUUAUUCUGCUAAUUUUCUGUGGUUCGUGCAAUUAACGUAACAAAGCGAAAUGUAAGUCGGAAUCGGUCGGAAUGAAUAGUAAGUAUUGGUGGAAUGGCAACUCGAGCCCUAAGUGUACGUGAUCUACAGUUUUGGCUUAAUGUCAGUAUUCUAGCCAAAAUUCAAAAUGAUUAUGAAAUCCUUUAGGAAACUUGAAAAACGGCUUAUGUUUAACCGUGGGAAAGAAAUUACGGUGUUUUUAUGUUAAACGAGUAAUUUUCUUUGUACUACGUAAACAUUCAGAUUUAAUAAAAUAAUAAUAGUAAUAAUAAAUCUUCAUAAAAUACGAAAUUCUUCAACUAAUUAUAGUAUGGUAAUAGUACGCUUAACUGAUAGCCAGUUUGCCUCACUCGAUGUUAAAUUAAUUGAAAGAUACGUAAAAGUAGCUUAAAGCAUUCAUUUGUAUCCUGACAGUAGACACCAAACUAGAUAAUGGUGAACUAGGAAAACAAGUGGUCUUUAUUUGAGGCAAAAUUUCUCACAACAGUCGUAGCCUAUAAACCGGGUGGUCUAACCAUAAUAUGCUACCAAUUUCACGUCAUAAAUAAUUUUUUAAAAGUAGUGUUAGCAAGGUUGGUAACAGUGUCAGGUUAUCCCAUUACAUUGACCUUUUAUAUUCACAAGAUUUAAAAAGAUGAAAUAUUGUCGUCUGGGAAAUAUUAUAGCGUCAUUGCCACUGGCGUGUUACGGUGUUAGGAAGGCCAAACUGUUGUCGACGUGGAAUAUUUUCUAGAAAUUCUGAUUGACGUGUAAUCCCGUUUAAUCUCAUAACCUCUGGACACGUAAAAUAAGAGCUCGAUAUUUGAAAUAAUAGUUAAGACAAAUUACCAUUUUUACAUGACGACGAAUUUUUAAUUUCAUUAAAAAAAUCUCCAAUAUUACUGAUGAUCACGAGGCAUAAAGUUUUUGUGGGAAAAGCGUGCUUUCAAUUUUUAGUACAAUGGCCUCAUCAUAAUGGGAAGAAACAUGGAACGUAGUUCUUCUUUUCACAAUGUACUUCGAAUCAGUUUUAUACAAUACAGAAACCGUGUGUAGUUUAGUAGCUAAAAUCACUAGCUACCAAACUGUACGUUUUGGCCAAAUUUGGUCAUAUUUUAAUUCCGGGAGAACACAAUAUUGUUAAUUGUUUCAAUGCCCUAACUUUCCCCUACGAUGUUGGAAUCGAUUGCCAAUCCGCGGACCAUUGGCUCACUGUGACAGGAGCGGGCACAAUCUGACAUCUCAGCAAACUUUAUCCGAUUGUUGACUGGAAAAACCUGGAUUAAGCAGAACCAUCAUUUCACUAUCAAUAUAUGAGACAUCGAUUGCCUUUCUCAGUUCUAGAAUAGAUUUUGUGGAAAUGUACUACGUAAUUGUGCUCUGUGCACAUUUUUCCAACUCCUGGACAGGAAAGAUUUUGAAGCCUGCUCACGAGGCAAAGUUCUUUUGUAUAGUCUAGCACAACAAUUUAGUUGUGGUGCGUAUGAGAUGCGUCAUUUAGUGAAUUUUGGUGUUAUAAUUAAUGUUGGUCUUCAUGAUGGAAGCCAAAAUAAGUGGAAGCCGUUUCAAAAAUCUUUUCUGUACGCCCUGUUCCAGAAUUGUGUGCACUACCUUCAGAUUUUAUCAACACGUCGAAUUAUGCAAAUAGUGUAAUCUUGCUGUGUCAUCUAAUCAUCAGCAAAGGAACUUAAAAAACGUGUUGGUUUUUUUGCAUUUGCCAAGACUUUCGCAUUAUCAGCCUAUUAAAGAAAACAAUUUUCACAACACACAAAGAAUUUUUAAAAUUUGGUUGUGAUAUAUCCGAGAUUAGUUAUUUGAAAAUGUUGAAGAUCUUAGAAUUCGAUUUUUUUUUAAUUUUUUUUUAUUUUUCUCUUUUUUUUUUUUUAUAUAUUUUCUACCUAUGAAUCAGUGACUAGCCGGAAAGUUGGCUGGAGUUUGUCUUUAAAUUUUGUGUCGUCGAUGUCGUCUUUGUUGGUUAAACUUAAAAAAUUUAACAGAGGCGGAAGUUCAAACAGCCUAUUAUUAUAGCUGUCCGCUGAACGACAGAAACAAUUAUUUUAAUACUUCCCUAAACAUUACACUAUAUCAAUUUUUCCAUAAUGCUAUAGAAAUAUAAACGCUUACGGAAUGGCGAAGUUAGAUAGUAUACUUUUAUGCAGUGAUCAGCCGAAUCAAUUUUGAUUUAUAGCAUAUUUUGAUUUAAAUCAUGAUUUGAAUCAAUUUUCCAUUAUUUUUGAUUUUUAAUUUGAAUUAGUUUUUGAAAAAUAAUGAUUUUUGAUCUUGAUUUCUCAUUUUUUUUUUACAAAAUUGAUUUUUGAAAAAAGAAAAUUAUUGUUUAGUAAGAAUGGGCUCAGAUUGGCUCUAAUCGGGGUAAACGAACCGCCCCGCCCCGAAAAAGCCGAUCGGGGAACCUCUUCGUUCAACGGGUUGGGGCGGAGUGAAAUUAGAAUUUGUGUUUGAUUUUCAUUUUGAUUCGGAUUUUUGAAUUUUGGUUGUAGAAUGAAUUGGGUUAAAUGGAAUUAGAUUUUUGAUUUUUAAUUCUGUCGACAACGUGAUUUUGACGGCAUUUGAUUCGAAUCAAAAUUUUAAAUGAUUCGGCAACCCGAUCACUGGAGGCAAUGACGGGCAUAAAAUCUUGUAGCCUAUUAAUCGAAAAUUUUAAUUCAAUAAAGUAAAACGCUUCUGCUCUUAAACUAGAACGUUCAACCGGGGGGUUGUCGACUCGUCAUUUGGGUGUACGAAUUAAAAAAUGAACGCUUACGUAUUUUUUCAUAUUUUUCCUUUUUUUUCAUAUUUUUUGUAUUUUCGAUAUUUUUUUUUACAUUUUUUCAAAUAUUUUCGUAUUUUUUCAUAUUUUUUCAUAUUUUUUAAUAUUUUUUCACAUUUUUUCAUAUUUUCCAGAUUUGCUAAAUUUUGUGAAACUUUUUUAGAUCUUUUUUUUACAUGUUUUUCAUGCUUUCUUACAAAAACAACUCUAUUUACCAUUAAAUAAUUAAAAAUGAACAUUUUCUUCAGCAAAUGAAGCCUAAAAUUUAAUUAACUGUAAAAGAAAAGCAAAUCAGCACCGGGACUUGAACUUCAGUACCGUAGAAUCUCUACCCCAUAUCCUAAUUGCCUUAGUACUAUAGUUACCGAUUUCGAUAAAAUUUAAUAGUGGGAUAACAGAAAAUGUUAGUCGUUUCACAAAUAAAAAAAUAAAACAAAAAGAAC